ACCUGCCCAUUGGAAUCUAAAAGGCCGCGGUAUUAUGACCGUGCUAAGGUAGCAUAAUCAUUAGUCUUUUAAUUGGAGGCUGGUAUGAAUGGUUGGACAAGAAAUAAGCUGUCUUAAAUAAAAAUAUUGAAUUUAACUUUUAAGUGAAAAGGCUUAAAUUUUCUAAGGGGACGAUAAGACCCUAUAAAACUUUAUAUUUUAAAAUAAUAAUUAAUUUUUAUAUAGAAGAUUUAUUUUUAAAUAUUUUAUUGGGGUGAUAAAGAUAAAAUGUGAGAUAACUGUCUUUUUUUUUUUUACAAUUAAUAUUUGAGUAAAAGAUCUUAACAAAGGAAAUAAGAGAUUAAGUUACUUUAGGGAUAACAGCGUAAUUUUCUUUAAGAGUUCUUAUCGACAAGAAAGUUUGCGACCUCGAUGUUGAAUUAAAAGUUCUUUAUAGAGUAGAUAUUAUAAUAGAGGGUCUGUUCGACCCUUAAAAUUUUACGUG
RNAcentral lists this ribosomal RNA (484 nucleotides) under Pontastacus leptodactylus (narrow-clawed crayfish). RNAcentral describes it as "Astacus leptodactylus (narrow-clawed crayfish) partial large subunit ribosomal RNA". It matches the Rfam family "Bacterial large subunit ribosomal RNA", at positions 1857 to 2602 of the family's 2925-position model. Lineage: Eukaryota; Metazoa; Arthropoda; Malacostraca; Decapoda; Astacidae. The record is from RNAcentral.